GGGUAUAGCUCAAUGGUAGAGUGUGUGCUCAGCAUGCACAAGGUGCUGGGUUCAAUCCCAUUACCUCCA
This 69-nucleotide transfer RNA is filed under the name Camelus bactrianus (Bactrian camel). It matches the Rfam family "tRNA". From Rfam's summary of the family: Transfer RNA (tRNA) molecules are approximately 80 nucleotides in length. Their secondary structure includes four short double-helical elements and three loops (D, anti-codon, and T loops). Lineage: Eukaryota; Metazoa; Chordata; Mammalia; Artiodactyla; Camelidae. RNAcentral also lists the same sequence under 2 other names. The record is from Rfam by way of RNAcentral.